Molecule: non-coding RNA, 2926 nt
Organism: Monodelphis domestica (gray short-tailed opossum)
Lineage: Eukaryota; Metazoa; Chordata; Mammalia; Didelphimorphia; Didelphidae
Source: RefSeq, a predicted model, not a curated record
UGCAAAGAGUUUUCCUAAAGAUUCCUCUUCAUAUUUGUGGAUCCUUGAGAAUCCCUCCUAUUGUGUGUCUCAACAGAUUCCAAGGACUUUGACAUCGUGGUGUAAAAACAACAUCUUGGUCUCAUCAGGAAUGUUGUUUCCUAUGAAAAUUGUAGGUUUCUCUUUGAUUUAUGUGAUAUGACAUCUGUGACCUUGGAAAGGCUGGAAGUUAGUGGGAGGAAUAUAACCACAAGAGAGACAGAUUUGGUUCCUCUCGGGAAGCCGGAGGAAAAUAUUUCCCCUUUGGGCACCCUCGGCAGCUUUUUGAGAGUUGAGACUAGGCACUUCCAUCCACCACAGGUUUCAAGGUCAUCGUAGGUCUGGGUGGACUUGGUGGCCCUCGGAGCUGACCAGUUGAAAGGCGGCCAUCAAGAGAAUGACUGGACAGAAAGCAGCAAGUCAGGGUCUCCAGGACACGCAACAACGUUUAAGAACCUCUACUUUAGACAUUUAUGCCACAGUUUGAUGUCUCCAAUGACAAAAAUCAUUGUUAUAAAGCCCCAAGUUAAACUAAGCAUUUAGUAGGUGUUCAGCCAGUGUUAAAUAGAAUAAACAUAACAAGAAUAAUUGGCAUAGAAAAUGACUAUCUAAUUAAGUAUUUCCUUCUAUGAAUUGUCAUUCUUGUUUAGGAGAAAAGUCAUCACAUAGAAGCCUGUGUCUAAUUUUUCCUUUUUUCUCCAUCUAAAAAAAUAAAUGAGUUAAGUGGGAGCAAUGCCAGUGAUUUUAGAAGACUUUUGUGAAAUGACAAGUUAGAACAAAGACCCGAGCAAAAGAACAGCUUUAGUCAUCUACAUGAAAAGGCUGCUUCCAUCCCUUCUGAAGGAGCUGCAAGUGAAUAAUUUAGAUGAGAACGGGAGAAAAUGUCUAAAGGGAUUGAUGGAGAGAUCCAGAGAGCUCGUCAAUGAGCCCAGAUUUCAGAAGAACACAUCAAAAAGAGAAAUGAGGGCAGUCAACUGAGGACAAUACAAAAAGGAUGCAUAUGUGGGCCUGUAAGAGUCAGGCAAGCAAAACUAAGGCACAGAAUGAGCUGGCUCUCACAAUUAAUGCUAAGAAUAACAGUGAUAACAUGAAAGCUUUAACAAAUGAUUUGACCCUUUCUGAUACUACAUUUGCUUGGAAUAAAAUGAAAAUGUGAUGAUGAGAAGACAAAACUAUUCAACUCACUUUUCUUCUGUAAAGGAAUUUAAGUUUGCUUUAUAGAGAAGGUUAAAAAAAUAUGGAUUGGGCCAGGGACUCAAUGUAUGAUUUCAGUGAUAUGUGAAAAUCUUGGAUGAUGAAACUCUCUGGCAACGUAGGUUGGCAAUUUCUCUGUACAUAGCCAAUAUGUGUCAGGGGUGAACCUUGAACCUAGCUCUUCCUGGCUGCGAGGGCUGUUCUCUAUCUCCUGUGCAUGAUAACUUGGUAAGCAAAGGUGAUUAUGAGCAAGUUGAAACUCAGGAUAAAAAAGGAGUUUGUAAGAGCCUGGAAUUGCUCAAAAUGAAUCCAAACAAAUGAAGGCUCAGGACAAAGAAUUUGCAGUUAUGAUAGUUGGACUAAUAUUGGCGAUCCUUGAGGAAUCAUUUCAGGGGAGAAGUGAUGAAGGAAUGAAGAUGCAGAAUCCAAGGCAUAGAGGUUAAAUGACUGACAGAGGGUCAUCUAGCAAAUAAGUGCCCAAGAAUAUAAGCUCCUUGGAUUUCUACAUGAACUAGAGAGACCUCCAGGAACUGAUGCAGAGUGAAAUGAGCAGAACCAGGAGAUCAUUAUACACAGAAACUGAUACACUGUGGAACUGUCCAAUGUAAUAGGCUCUGCUAAUACAAGACAACCCCGAGGGACUUAUGAGAAAGAAUGGUAUCCACACUGAGAGAAAGAACUGUGGGAGUAGAAAUCCAGAAGAAAAACUAGUUAUAUCCUCUGUUUAUUUGGAUAUAUGAUUUGGGGUUUUGGUUUUAAAAGAUCACUCUAUUCCAAAAUUGAAUAAUAUGGAAAUAGGUAUAAGUGAUAACAUUUGUAUAACCCAGUGGAAGUGCUUAUUGGAUCUAGGAAGAGGGAGGGAGAGAAAAUAUAUCAUGGAAACAUGGAAAAACAUAUUAAAAGUUAAAAAUUAAAAAAAAAAAGAAUAUAAGCUCCUUGAGGACAAAGUCAUGUUUUUGCCUUCUUUGCAUCCCCAGCACUUAGCAUAGUAUGUGGCACACAGGAAGCACUUCAUAAAGGCUCAUUGACUGACCUACUGAGUCUUUACAAAGUGUUUUACUCACAACAGUCGUUGUAGGGCAGCAUUUUAUGCAUUUUUGUACCCAUUUUGUAGAUGAGGAAAGUGGGGCUUGGAAACAUUGAAUGACUUGUCUGUGGUCCGCAAAUGAUAUAGUUAGGACAUGAACCAAGUCUUCUGAUUUAGUUUCCUCACCAUAUCAAACUCUCUUGUAUAGAAUUUUUCCCCAUCCUGAAAGAAACUCAGAACUUUUUGUCUAGAGACUAUAGACAGGUUACAAUUGUGGAAGUAGAAAAGAAAUUGGUUUUUGUAUUCUUUAAAAAACUGUCUCUGAAAUUUAUAAGAUCCUAGAUAUAGAUCUGGAGGAUACCUUAGAGGCCAUCAGGUUAAACACCUUCUUUUAGCAGAUGGGGAAACGAAGGCUCAAAGAGGUUAAAUGAUUGGCAUAGAAUCAUAUAUUGCCAGAGGUAGGAUUUGAACUUCUGUCUUCUAGAUUUCAGGACUAGCAAUUUGACCACUAUGCCAGAGGUUAAAUGAAUUACACACUUCUAAAAUAUGAACACAGGGGGCAGCUUGGUAGCUCAGUGGAUUGAGAGCCAGGCUUGGAGACUAGAGGUCCUAGGUUCAAUUUUGGCCUCAGACACUUCCCAGCUGUGUGACCCUGGGCAAGUCACUUGACCCCCAUUGCCUAGCCCU